RNAcentral lists this ribosomal RNA (428 nucleotides) under uncultured bacterium. Its description in RNAcentral is "bacterial SSU rRNA". It matches the Rfam family "Bacterial small subunit ribosomal RNA", at positions 355 to 776 of the family's 1533-position model. The record is from RNAcentral.
UCGAGAAUUUUUCACAAUGGGGGAAACCCUGAUGGAGCGACGCCGCGUGGGGGAUGAAUGGCUUCGGCCCGUAAACCCCUGUCAUUUGCGAACAAACCCUGCAGUUUAAGAGAUGGCAGGCUGAUCGUAGCAGAAGAGGAAGGGACGGCUAACUCUGUGCCAGCAGCCGCGGUAAUACAGAGGUCCCAAGCGUUGUUCGGAUUCACUGGGCGUAAAGGGUGCGUAGGCGGCGAGGUAAGUUUGAGGUGAAAUCUCCGGGCUCAACCCGGAAGCGGCCUUGAAGACUAUCUUGCUAGAGGAUCGGAGGGGAGAUCGGAAUUCUCGGUGUAGCAGUGAAAUGCGUAGAUAUCGAGAGGAACACCAGUGGCGAAGGCGGAUCUCUGGACGAAACCUGACGCUGAGGCACGAAAGCCAGGGGAGCAAACGGG